This 400-nucleotide ribosomal RNA is filed under the name phytoplankton environmental sample. RNAcentral describes it as "partial small subunit ribosomal RNA". It matches the Rfam family "Eukaryotic small subunit ribosomal RNA", at positions 587 to 986 of the family's 1831-position model. The record is from RNAcentral.
AGCUCCAAUAGCGUAUAUUAAAGUUGUUGCAGUUAAAAAGCUCGUAGUUGGAUUUGUGGUGUGUCCUGUCGUUCCAGCAGCUAAGCUGUUGUGUACGUACGGGUCUGCCUUUCAUGGGAUUGUUGGCUUUGUGGCAUUAGGUUGUCGCAUUGUUGAUGCCCAUCUUUUACUGUGAAAAAAUUAGAGUGUUCAAAACAGUCGUCGUGACAUUGAAUAUAUUAGCAUGGAAUAAUGAUAUAGGACCUUGGUACUAUUUUGUUGGUUUGCGCACUGAGGUAAUGAUUAAUAGGGACAGUUGGGGGUAUUCGUAUUCCAUUGUCAGAGGUGAAAUUCUUGGAUUUUUGGAAGACGAACUACUGCGAAAGCAUUUACCAAGGAUGUUUUCAUUAAUCAAGAACGA